UAACCACCGCCAGUGAAAACGCGAAGAUGGACGCGCACAUCCGCAGAGGAGGGCCGGGGACUAUCGGCGAGAGAAAGUACAUGCAAAGAAAAAGAACGAAGAAGGCACCGUUCGAAUAGGCUUCUCCCUCCGUGCACCCGCUGGCGGACUCUUGCACGCGUGCGUCAGUCGAGAUGACGGCGACGUCGCGACACACGCAACUGCGCGUUUUUCAUCUUCAACCUCUGUCUAUUUUCUUUUUGAGGUGCCCGCGCACGCAUAGCUUAGGCAGCGGGAGACGGAAAGCUCUCUGCCCUUUCCUCCCUGAACACACGCACACAAGCAAUCAGACGCACAGGCUCACGCAGGAGCGGGACACAGCCGAGUUCGUGCCGGCAUCGUUGUUGUUGCUGCUUAGAUAGCUCUGCCAUGCUUGCUUCAGCGUCCACAACCCUUCAGCCCCGGCAUUUUCUGCAUACGCCCGCUCGGUCUCUCGCCCCCUUCUCAGUUCUUCACUGCCUCUCUUCGCUUCCCCAGCACUUCGAGCGAUUCCGAACCCUCCUGCCCUCUCCUCCGCGUUCUCCAGUCGACUUGUCGAUGCGAGCAAGCAAAAAAAAAAAAACAGAGCGCUGCCUCGUGGAGCCUGACCUUUGAAAAAUUUCGGUGGCGCUUUUCAUUUUUCGUCUUCUUCGCUUGCUUGUAUGCGCACGUGUGUGUGCGUGUGUGUGUGUGCCAGUGCUCCUUGCCCAGCUUUGCGCCUGCCUGCUUCUCACGGUGUCUCCCUCUGUGAGAGGGUGUGCACGCAGGCAGCGUGCAUCUGCCGCUGCACUUGGAACGGCCACGACAGGCGGGUGCACUCAGGACAUACAUGAAACACGCGCACGCAUAGACGCGCACGGAGGCGCACCUUUUCGGGCUCGUGGCUAUUCUGUUUUUUCUUCUUCCCCUGGUCACCACAGCCGGGGGUGUUCCUCUCAAGCCACCUUCGCUUCUCUUUGCUUUCUGAUCUCUGCGGCACGCUGGCUUUGCUGCUUACAUGCUUGCUCACGCGGCCAUCACUGCUGUUGCUGCCGUUUCCACGCUGCUUCUCCCCGGCCGCGCCGACGGAGCCGAUAAGGGAUCGGUGUGGGUGCAAAUCCGUCUUUGCGGCCAACCCUCAGCGGCUUCCUCAUACUCCACAGCGUGUCUCCUCGCAACGCUGAUGUAUCCUUUCCCUGAUGUCGUAGAAUCCCAUCUCUCUGGCUUUGCAUACACGACGGCACAGACGUGCCCAGAGCCGUUAGUCAAGGCGAAUUUCGCUUCUCUUGCCCUCCCUCGUUUUCCUCUUCCGCAGCUGGUUGGGCGAGAUCAGCACCACCUCUUCCCCUCCCCAACCACCACAGUCCCCUGCUGAGAACGGAAAGUUUUCAGUUUCGUCGGGGCGGUGCCCAGAGAUAGUGUGUGUGCGUCGAUUCGGUUUUGUUUUUCAAGAUCGGGGUCACGCGUGUGUAUGCACUUCCGCCUGCUCCGUUCAGCUGAUCUCCCACGCUUCUGUCACGGAGUUCGACAUUGGUUCUUUCCUCACCUCUGAUUUCCUUCUCAUUGUGCAAG
Molecule: unclassified non-coding RNA, 1569 nt
Filed under: Leishmania donovani
Lineage: Eukaryota; Euglenozoa; Kinetoplastea; Trypanosomatida; Trypanosomatidae
Description: gene:unknown
Source: RNAcentral